UUAUUCGGCUGCUUCAACCGCCAGAGAGCGAGGUGACCUUUGCCCCCAAGUAACAGCCACUCAGCAAAUAGCACCAAAUGAAGACGGAGAAUAACAUAUAGAUUUGCCAUAAGAAAAAAUUGAUCUAAAUCCAUAUAUCAAAUCUGCUGAUCAGAGCUCUAGAGAAAUGCUUCACAAUCCUUAGCAAGCACUUGCAGGAAGUUUGGGCAGAAAGAAGACCUUCCUGAAGCUUAUAUUAACAAAUCAUCUUGUCAACUGUUUCUCAGUGUGGAAUGUGUUCCUCAAAAAUCUGCUGAGAAGUCAGGAUCCCCAGGGAUUUACAUGCACCUUGCGCUGUGAUGACCAGCAAGAGCCCUGCCUGACUUCAAGCCAAGCAAGGUAUCAGUGUCUCUCACCAUCUGAAGAAUGUUACAUGGUGAUUCAGCCCCUGGCAAUCCCUAAGACAUGUUACUUCCAUUGAAUUAAGACACAAAAAGUUGCUUGGUGUCUCUUCUCACCAUGCUAACUGGAACGCCUGAGAAGAAAAUCACUGCAGCCGGCACUCCCUGCUUCCCCAUCCUACUUCCCUGAGAAAACUGAAGCUGUCAAGAGAACUUCCACAAAUUCCCACCACCAUAGAUGCUCUCCAGAUGAUUAAAUCCAGCUGUACUUGGUGUAACUGCAUGGAGCACAAUGGAUCACUGACUCCUCCUUGAUACAAGUGCUUCCCUGCCCUCUCUUGGGUUUCCACCUCCCUGUGGCUCUUUCUCAGUCCACAUGACUUCUUCAUCUCUUUCCCCAGAUAUCUCUGUGUGUGACUUCUCCAGGCACAGUCCUUUCCCUUUUUCUGCUGCUACUCUCACUUCUGGGAUGGCCUGGGCAGCACUUGCCCACCUGCUGUUCUCCCUAUCACAUGUGACAUCAACUCUGUCCUCCCAACUACUCAACACUUAGCUAUCCUUGAUUCUUCCCUUUCUCUCACACCCACAUCCAACCCAACAGGGAUUCUGCCACACUGCCGUUAAAAUAUAUUCAUGACCCAGUUUCUCACAGCUUCCACGUCUGCCUCCACGGCAGAGCUGCCACACGCUUGCCCACGUCACCACAUCGGGCUUCCUGCUAGACAUCAAGUGGUCUGUCCCUGCCACCGCCAUCUAAAAGCCCCUCAAUGGCCGCAGGAAGCCUUUAAAAGCAGAAGUCAAUUAUCUGUUCAAAACCCUUUCCUGGUUCCUGUUUCCUUUCAGAAUAAAAACCAAAGUACUUGCCAUGGCCACCAAACCUUGCUAAUACCUGUCCCAGGCCCCUGCAAGGUUCCCUCUGAUCUUGUCUACUACACUGUCCAUCACUCACCCUGCACUACCCCUCCCGGCUUCCCUGUUCUCCCCCAGCUGCAACCCCUAGUCCGAGGGCUUUUGCUCUGGCAGUAAAAAGAGGCCUUUUUCCCCAGGUAUCCACAUGGUUAAUUUCCGCCCUGGCAAAUCAUUGCGCCUAUGUCACUUUCCCAUUGAGGCCAACUGCAACCACUUAACACCUCAACCAGUCUCCCUUACCCCCACACCCCUGCUUUAUUUGAUUAUUGAUCCUUCUUAUCCUAUUCUUCUUUUUACUAUAACACUCAUCAUCCUAAUAUACUACAUAACUCAGUUAUUUGAUACGAUUACUGUUAAUUUUCUGUCUCCCACUGCUACAAUAUAAGCCCCACAUUGAUGGGGGGUGGGGGGUCUUUAUUUUGUUCAUUGACAAACCCUAAGCACGUGGAACAAUGUCUGAUAUAUAAUGGAAGUGAAUAAAUGUUUGAUAAUAAAUUCUUACACUAA
This is a long non-coding RNA of Symphalangus syndactylus (siamang), 1796 nucleotides long. RefSeq lists it as uncharacterized. The record is from RefSeq and is a predicted model, not a curated record. Lineage: Eukaryota; Metazoa; Chordata; Mammalia; Primates; Hylobatidae.